UACGUAGGUGGCGAGCGUUGUCCGGAUUUACUGGGCGUAAAGGGCGUGCAGGCGGUUUGCUAAGUCCAGGGUGAAAGCUCCCGGCUUAACUGGGAGAGGCCAACGGAAACUGUCAGGCUAGAGUGUGGUAGAGGAAGAUGGAAUUCCCGGUGUAGCGGUGAAAUGCGUAGAUAUCGGGAGGAAUACCUAUGGCGAAAGCAGUCUUCUGGACCAUCACUGACGCUGAUGUGCGAAAGCUAGGGGAGCAAACAGG
This 253-nucleotide ribosomal RNA is filed under the name uncultured bacterium. Its description in RNAcentral is "partial 16S ribosomal RNA". It matches the Rfam family "Bacterial small subunit ribosomal RNA", at positions 524 to 776 of the family's 1533-position model. The record is from RNAcentral.